AGGUUCACUAUUCAGUGGGAGCAAUAAUUUACAGAAUAACCCUGCAAUACAAAUUCAAUCGCACAACAUUGCGAAACACAUCAACUGAUUUACUCAACCAAGGCAUGUUGUUCUGUCUAUCCACAGAUAACUAGGUAUAUACUCAAAUUUCAGUGGAAAAUCAAAGCUCUUUGUUAGCUCAGAUCCAAAGAAACAGAGAGUUGACUAAAGGCAACUCUUAAGAAUCAGAAAGGCUACAGUAACAGAGAGAAGGCAGGAGAGAGAAGAAGAAGAAGGAGGCGUGUGCAAAUGCAAAUAAGCG
This 301-nucleotide unclassified non-coding RNA is filed under the name Hevea brasiliensis (rubber tree). Lineage: Eukaryota; Viridiplantae; Streptophyta; Magnoliopsida; Malpighiales; Euphorbiaceae. The record is from RNAcentral.